CUGGGUGUAGCUCAGUCUGCGCAGAGUACCGGACUUGGAAUCCGGGGGCCGCUGGUUCGAAUCCAGUCACCCAGACCA
Molecule: transfer RNA, 78 nt
Filed under: Ensifer meliloti
Lineage: Bacteria; Pseudomonadati; Pseudomonadota; Alphaproteobacteria; Hyphomicrobiales; Rhizobiaceae
Description: Sinorhizobium meliloti tRNA-Pro
Rfam family: tRNA
About the family: Transfer RNA (tRNA) molecules are approximately 80 nucleotides in length.
Source: RNAcentral